RNAcentral lists this long non-coding RNA (1070 nucleotides) under Numida meleagris (helmeted guineafowl). Its description in RNAcentral is "lncRNA (ENSNMEG00000001088.1)". The record is from RNAcentral. Lineage: Eukaryota; Metazoa; Chordata; Aves; Galliformes; Numididae.
GCCCACAGCCGCCAGGAGCCCGCUCUCUGCACAACUGCUGUUUAACAGCUACAGCUGCAGAGUGUAAGCACGACUAUCUCUGAGUGCCCACACAAUUCUGAAGCACAGUCCCAUUUAGUUUUGAAGAAAAAAAAAAAAAGCACAAAUCACUGUAGUAUAAGUUUUCAAUUUAUAUCGCCAUAGCAACAAAGGGCCUCAGCUGAAACGAGACCCCCCCCCCGCUCUUGGUGGAAGCGCACAACGCUCCGACAAGAGGCGGCCGCUGCGCUGAGGUCACCGUCCCCGUCCGGCGCGGAGGUGCGGGAGCGCGGCUGCACGGCUCCCGAGAGCGCUGCCCGGCAGGUAAGGAGCAGCGCCGUCAGCCCAGCGCAAUGGGACCAGCAGCAGCGGGAUGGGAGCGGUUUGCCCGCAAACGAGGCUGUGGCAGAGCGGAAGAUGCUGCCGUCUCCUUAACCCUGGAACCAAGAUUUAAUUCACUCUUUCAAACAGAGAUUAAAUCCACUCAGUAGUAGUUUCUACCCAGACGUCAUACAAAUUUCAUUGAAAAGAAGACACGGGGAAUGCUCUUCUAAUCUUUGACAACGACUAUUGAUGUGUUAAUCGUCACCGUACAUUGCAAGGGUGCCACCGGAGCGAAGAGCAAUUAUCGCAUUCCUAAAGCCAUUGCUAAGGGGCGGGGGGGGGGGAACGAAGAUGCUAUGAUUUAUGCUUUGACAGACACUUUUAACGUCACGCUUCUUUAACGACAGAGAAGCGAAGAAAAAAGCCCGCACGGAGCGGGCAGAGCACCAGAAGUUCACCAGUGCCGCCAGCGGCCCCGGAUGCCACCUGUGGGCAGCCCCGCAGCUGCUCCGGAGGUGACGGCGGGGCAGAGCCCCCCGGCCCGCAGCACCGCUACCGGCCUGCUCUCCCCGCUCCCGUCUCCCUGUUCCCGCUCUCCCCGCUCCCGUGUCCCCGCUGCUGCUCUCCUCGCUCCCGUUCCCCUCGCCCUCGGGAGAGAAGCGGCUUCCGCGGAGGAAAGCGCCGGGAGCUCCUCCUUCCCCGUCCCCGCCGUCAGAGUUGAAGUUUGA